This is a long non-coding RNA of Neopelma chrysocephalum (saffron-crested tyrant-manakin), 288 nucleotides long. RefSeq lists it as uncharacterized. The transcript is spliced from 3 exons. The record is from RefSeq and is a predicted model, not a curated record. Lineage: Eukaryota; Metazoa; Chordata; Aves; Passeriformes; Pipridae.
GGGAGAUGUGGUCACCAUCAUCGAGGCCGUGGAGGGCAAAGGCUGGUACCAUGCCAGACACAACGAGACAGGGCAGGAGGGGCUGCUGGCGGCCAGUGCGCUGCGGGAGCGCGGUGCCAUCCGCGUGGACCCCAAACUCAGCCUCAUGCCCUGGUUCCACGGGAAGAUCUCGGGGGUGGAGGCGGUGCAGGAGCUGCAGCCCCCUGAGGACGGGCUGUUCCUGGUGCGUGAGUCCGUGCGGCACCCCGGGGACUACGUGCUGUGCGUGAGCUUCGGCAGGGAGGUGAU